UUGAACAUAAGACAUUAUCAUUUUCAAGACUUUUAAUUUUAUUAUUUCAACCAAAACCUUAUUUGUUCUUAGCAUUGAUAUUUUAUAAAUAUAUUUUGUAUAUUAUUUUUUCGCCCUAGACCUAUCAAUUCUUACUCAAGCCUGAAAGUUGACCCAAUCAACUUGUACCCAAACCUGAUCCAACUUGAUUUGACCAUAAAAUGUCAACAACCCGAACUUGUCCAAUUCGAAUUCAAAUAUGCCCAAAUCUAAAAUUGUCCCAACCUAGAAUGAUUUAAAUAAAUAACUUAAAGUGACACAAACUUAAAUUAAGCAUAAUUUUUUAAAAUAAUAAUACAUAUAACCUAAAUUUGAAAUUUAUUUUAAUUUAUAGCUUCUAAAUUAUAAUCAUCAUGGUUUAUUGUCAUAGAAUUUGCAAUAACUCAAAAAAAAUAUUUGAAUUUAAUUUUAUUCGAGUUCAAAGUCUUUAAAAAUUUUGGACCUUAUUUCAUUUUAUCUUGAUUUGGGUUUAUUUGAAAAUCCUAAAAAUAUUUUUGAUUAAAAUUUCUUACAGUUUUUAC
This 560-nucleotide long non-coding RNA is filed under the name Gossypium raimondii (Peruvian cotton). RNAcentral describes it as "long non-coding RNA (GRAI_LNC000438)". Lineage: Eukaryota; Viridiplantae; Streptophyta; Magnoliopsida; Malvales; Malvaceae. The record is from RNAcentral.